Molecule: ribosomal RNA, 2930 nt
Filed under: Escherichia coli
Lineage: Bacteria; Pseudomonadati; Pseudomonadota; Gammaproteobacteria; Enterobacterales; Enterobacteriaceae
Description: 23S ribosomal RNA
Rfam family: Bacterial large subunit ribosomal RNA
Source: RNAcentral
GGGUUGUGAGGUUAAGCGACUAAGCGUACACGGUGGAUGCCCUGGCAGUCAGAGGCGAUGAAGGACGUGCUAAUCUGCGAUAAGCGUCGGUAAGGUGAUAUGAACCGUUAUAACCGGCGAUUUCCGAAUGGGGAAACCCAGUGUGUUUCGACACACUAUCAUUAACUGAAUCCAUAGGUUAAUGAGGCGAACCGGGGGAACUGAAACAUCUAAGUACCCCGAGGAAAAGAAAUCAACCGAGAUUCCCCCAGUAGCGGCGAGCGAACGGGGAGCAGCCCAGAGCCUGAAUCAGUGUGUGUGUUAGUGGAAGCGUCUGGAAAGGCGCGCGAUACAGGGUGACAGCCCCGUACACAAAAAUGCACAUGCUGUGAGCUCGAUGAGUAGGGCGGGACACGUGGUAUCCUGUCUGAAUAUGGGGGGACCAUCCUCCAAGGCUAAAUACUCCUGACUGACCGAUAGUGAACCAGUACCGUGAGGGAAAGGCGAAAAGAACCCCGGCGAGGGGAGUGAAAAAGAACCUGAAACCGUGUACGUACAAGCAGUGGGAGCACGCUUAGGCGUGUGACUGCGUACCUUUUGUAUAAUGGGUCAGCGACUUAUAUUCUGUAGCAAGGUUAACCGAAUAGGGGAGCCGAAGGGAAACCGAGUCUUAACUGGGCGUUAAGUUGCAGGGUAUAGACCCGAAACCCGGUGAUCUAGCCAUGGGCAGGUUGAAGGUUGGGUAACACUAACUGGAGGACCGAACCGACUAAUGUUGAAAAAUUAGCGGAUGACUUGUGGCUGGGGGUGAAAGGCCAAUCAAACCGGGAGAUAGCUGGUUCUCCCCGAAAGCUAUUUAGGUAGCGCCUCGUGAAUUCAUCUCCGGGGGUAGAGCACUGUUUCGGCAAGGGGGUCAUCCCGACUUACCAACCCGAUGCAAACUGCGAAUACCGGAGAAUGUUAUCACGGGAGACACACGGCGGGUGCUAACGUCCGUCGUGAAGAGGGAAACAACCCAGACCGCCAGCUAAGGUCCCAAAGUCAUGGUUAAGUGGGAAACGAUGUGGGAAGGCCCAGACAGCCAGGAUGUUGGCUUAGAAGCAGCCAUCAUUUAAAGAAAGCGUAAUAGCUCACUGGUCGAGUCGGCCUGCGCGGAAGAUGUAACGGGGCUAAACCAUGCACCGAAGUUGCGGCAGCGACGCUUAUGCGUUGUUGGGUAGGGGAGCGUUCUGUAAGCCUGUGAAGGUGUGCUGUGAGGCAUGCUGGAGGUAUCAGAAGUGCGAAUGCUGACAUAAGUAACGAUAAAGCGGGUGAAAAGCCCGCUCGCCGGAAGACCAAGGGUUCCUGUCCAACGUUAAUCGGGGCAGGGUGAGUCGACCCCUAAGGCGAGGCCGAAAGGCGUAGUCGAUGGGAAACAGGUUAAUAUUCCUGUACUUGGUGUUACUGCGAAGGGGGGACGGAGAAGGCUAUGUUGGCCGGGCGACGGUUGUCCCGGUUUAAGCGUGUAGGCUGGUUUUCCAGGCAAAUCCGGAAAAUCAAGGCUGAGGCGUGAUGACGAGGCACUACGGUGCUGAAGCAACAAAUGCCCUGCUUCCAGGAAAAGCCUCUAAGCAUCAGGUAACAUCAAAUCGUACCCCAAACCGACACAGGUGGUCAGGUAGAGAAUACCAAGGCGCUUGAGAGAACUCGGGUGAAGGAACUAGGCAAAAUGGUGCCGUAACUUCGGGAGAAGGCACGCUGAUAUGUAGGUGAAGUCCCUUGCGGAUGGAGCUGAAAUCAGUCGAAGAUACCAGCUGGCUGCAACUGUUUAUUAAAAACACAGCACUGUGCAAACACGAAAGUGGACGUAUACGGUGUGACGCCUGCCCGGUGCCGGAAGGUUAAUUGAUGGGGUCAGCGCAAGCGAAGCUCUUGAUCGAAGCCCCGGUAAACGGCGGCCGUAACUAUAACGGUCCUAAGGUAGCGAAAUUCCUUGUCGGGUAAGUUCCGACCUGCACGAAUGGCGUAAUGAUGGCCAGGCUGUCUCCACCCGAGACUCAGUGAAAUUGAACUCGCUGUGAAGAUGCAGUGUACCCGCGGCAAGACGGAAAGACCCCGUGAACCUUUACUAUAGCUUGACACUGAACAUUGAGCCUUGAUGUGUAGGAUAGGUGGGAGGCUUAGAAGUGUGGACGCCAGUCUGCAUGGAGCCGACCUUGAAAUACCACCCUUUAAUGUUUGAUGUUCUAACGUUGACCCCUAAUCGGGGUUGCGGACAGUGUCUGGUGGGUAGUUUGACUGGGGCGGUCUCCUCCUAAAGAGUAACGGAGGAGCACGAAGGUUGGCUAAUCCUGGUCGGACAUCAGGAGGUUAGUGCAAUGGCAUAAGCCAGCUUGACUGCGAGCGUGACGGCGCGAGCAGGUGCGAAAGCAGGUCAUAGUGAUCCGGUGGUUCUGAAUGGAAGGGCCAUCGCUCAACGGAUAAAAGGUACUCCGGGGAUAACAGGCUGAUACCGCCCAAGAGUUCAUAUCGACGGCGGUGUUUGGCACCUCGAUGUCGGCUCAUCACAUCCUGGGGCUGAAGUAGGUCCCAAGGGUAUGGCUGUUCGCCAUUUAAAGUGGUACGCGAGCUGGGUUUAGAACGUCGUGAGACAGUUCGGUCCCUAUCUGCCGUGGGCGCUGGAGAACUGAGGGGGGCUGCUCCUAGUACGAGAGGACCGGAGUGGACGCAUCACUGGUGUUCGGGUUGUCAUGCCAAUGGCACUGCCCGGUAGCUAAAUGCGGAAGAGAUAAGUGCUGAAAGCAUCUAAGCACGAAACUUGCCCCGAGAUGAGUUCUCCCUGACCCUUUAAGGGUCCUGAAGGAACGUUGAAGACGACGACGUUGAUAGGCCGGGUGUGUAAGCGCAGCGAUGCGUUGAGCUAACCGGUACUAAUGAACCGUGAGGCUUAACCUUACAACGCCGAAGCUGUU